CCUACGGGAGGCAGUAGUGGGGAAUAUUGCGCAAUGGGCGAGAGCCUGACGCAGCGACGCCGCGUGAGGGAUGAAGGCCUUCGGAUCGUAAACCUCUGUCAGCAGGGAAGAACGGUCACUGUGCUAAUCAGCAGUGAAUUGACGGUACCUGCAAAGGAAGCACCGGCUAACUCCGUGCCAGCAGCCGCGGUAAUACGGAGGGUGUGAGCGUUAAUCGGAAUUACUGGGCGUAAAGCGCUCGUAGGCGGUAUGUCAAGUCAAGGGGGAAAUCCCCGCGCUCAACGUGGGAACUGCCUUUGAAACUGGCAAACUUGAGUGUGUGAGAGGAUAGUGGAAUUCGAGGUGUAGGGGUGAAAUCCGUAGAUAUCUGGAGGAACAUCAGUGGCGAAGGCGACUAUCUGGCACAUAACUGACGCUGAGGAGCGAAAGCGUGGGUAGCGAACAGGAUUAGAUACCCGAGUAGUC
Molecule: ribosomal RNA, 465 nt
Filed under: uncultured bacterium
Lineage: Bacteria
Description: partial 16S ribosomal RNA
Rfam family: Bacterial small subunit ribosomal RNA
Source: RNAcentral